RNAcentral lists this ribosomal RNA (412 nucleotides) under uncultured Methanosaeta sp. RNAcentral's name for it is "bacterial SSU rRNA". It matches the Rfam family "Archaeal small subunit ribosomal RNA", at positions 926 to 1338 of the family's 1478-position model. The record is from RNAcentral. Lineage: Archaea; Methanobacteriati; Methanobacteriota; Methanomicrobia; Methanotrichales; Methanotrichaceae.
UCGACCGGGGCGACAGCAAUAUGAAGGUCAGGCUGAAGACCUUACCCGAUUAGCUGAGAGGUGGUGCAUGGCCGUCGUCAGUUCGUACUGUGAAGCAUCCUGUUAAGUCAGGCAACGAGCGAGACCCACGUCCACAGUUGCCAGCAUACCCUCCGGGGUGAUGGGUACACUGUGGAGACCGCCGCUGCUAAAGCGGAGGAAGGAGUGGGCAACGGUAGGUCAGUAUGCCCCGAAUCUCCCGGGCUACACGCGGGCUACAAUGGUUGGUACAAUGGGCAUCUACCCCGAAAGGGGAAGGAAAUCUCUUAAAGCCAAUCGUAGUUCGGAUUGAGGGCUGCAACUCGCCCUCAUGAAGCUGGAAUCCGUAGUAAUCGCGUUUCAACAGAACGCGGUGAAUACGUCCCUGCUCCUU